GGCAGAGAGAGAGGACAAGAGAUGGAGGAAGGAUGGAUUCGGUUACCAGAUGGGAGAGUAGCUGUGUCACAGCUGCAGGAAGCCGCUGUUGUACUGGCUGUGCAUGAAACCACCCAUCUAGCACAAUGCGAGGCAAGGUCCAGCCGUUCCGCCCGGAAUACAGGUUUAUGGAGCAGCCCCCUUUGAAGAUCUCCAGGUGGACUUCACAGAGAUGCCAAAGUGUGGCGGUAACAAGUAUCUACUAGUUCUUGUGUGUACCUACUCUGGGUGGGUGGAGGCUUAUCCAACACGAACUGAGUAACCCGUGUGCUUCUUCGAGAUCUUAUUCCUAGAUUUGGACUGCCUUUACGGAUCGGCUCAGAUAACGGGCCGGCGUUUGUGGCUGACUGGGUACAGAAGACGACAAAGGUGAUCGAGUGUGGAUCAAGGACUGGAACACAGCCUCUUUGUGCCCAUGGUGGAAAGGACCCCAGACUGUCGUCCUGACCACUCCCACCGCUGUGAAGGUAGAGGGAAUCCCAGCCUGGAUCCCCCACAGCCGUGUAAAACCUGCAGCUCCUGAAACCUGGGAGGCAAGACCAAGCCCGGACUAUCCUUGUAGAGUGACUCUGAGGAAGACGACAAGCCCUGCUCCAGUCACACCCGGAAGCUGACUGGUCCACGCACGGCCGAAGCAUGAGGAAUCUCAUCGUGGAAUUCAUUUUUCUUCAACUUUGGACUUAUACAGUAAGGGCUUCAACAGACCUUACUCAAACUGGGGACUGUUCCCAGUGUGUUCAUCAGGUCACUGAGGUAGGACAGCAAAUUAAAACAAUCUUUCUGUUCUAUAGUUAUUAUGAAUGUGUGGGAAUGUUAAAAGAAACUUGUUUGUAUAAUGCCACUCAGUACAAGGUAUGUAGCCCGGGAAAUGACCAACCUGAUGUGUGUUACAACCCAUCUGAGUCCCCUGCAACCACCGUUUUCGAAAUAAGAUUAAGAACUGGCCUUUUCCUAGGUGAUACAAGUAAAAUAAUAACUAGAACAGAAGGAAAAGGAAUCCCCAAACAAGUAGCUUUAAGAUUUAACGCUUGUUCAGCCAUUAAUAGUAACAAGCUAGGAACAGGAUGUGGUUCUGUUAACUGUGAAAGGAGCUACAGAGUAGAAAAUAAAUAUGUUUGUCAU
This 1161-nucleotide long non-coding RNA is filed under the name Macaca fascicularis (crab-eating macaque). Its description in RNAcentral is "lncRNA (ENSMFAG00000056390.1)". The record is from RNAcentral. Lineage: Eukaryota; Metazoa; Chordata; Mammalia; Primates; Cercopithecidae.